GAUGAACGCUGGCGGCGUGCUUAACACAUGCAAGUCGAACGGAAAGGCUCCUGCUUGCAGGGGUACUCGAGUGGCGAACGGGUGAGUAACACGUGGGUGAACUGCCCUGCACUUCGGGAUAAGCCUGGGAAACUGGGUCUAAUACCGGAUAGGACGUUGUUUUGGAUGCCAUUGUGGAAAGUUUUUCGGUGUGGGAUAAGCUCGCGGCCUAUCAGCUUGUUGGUGGGGUAAUGGCCUACCAAGGCGUCGACGGGUAGCCGGCCUGAGAGGGUGUACGGCCACAUUGGGACUGAGAUACGGCCCAGCCUCCUACGGGAGGCAGCAGUGGGGAGUAUUGCACAAUGGGCGCAAGCCUGAUGCAGCGACGCCGCGUGGGGGAUGACGGCCUUCGGGUUGUAAACUCCUUUCGCUAGGGACGAAGCGCAAGUGACGGUACCUGGAGAAGAAGCACCGGCUAACUACGUG
RNAcentral lists this ribosomal RNA (465 nucleotides) under uncultured bacterium. RNAcentral's name for it is "partial 16S ribosomal RNA". It matches the Rfam family "Bacterial small subunit ribosomal RNA", at positions 28 to 507 of the family's 1533-position model. The record is from RNAcentral.